This 482-nucleotide ribosomal RNA is filed under the name uncultured bacterium. Its description in RNAcentral is "partial 16S ribosomal RNA". It matches the Rfam family "Bacterial small subunit ribosomal RNA", at positions 28 to 523 of the family's 1533-position model. The record is from RNAcentral.
GACGAACGCCGGCGGCGUGCCUAACACAUGCAAGUCGAACGAUGAACUGGAGCUUGCUCCAGGGAUUAGUGGCGAACGGGUGAGUAACACGUGAGUAACCUGCCCUUGACUCUGGGAUAAGCGCUGGAAACGGCGUCUAAUACCGGAUACGAGCUUCAGCCGCAUGGCUAGGAGUUGGAAAGAAUUUCGGUCAAGGAUGGACUCGCGGCCUAUCAGCUAGUUGGUGAGGUAAUGGCUCACCAAGGCGACGACGGGUAGCCGGCCUGAGAGGGUGGCCGGCCACACUGGUACUGCGAGACGGCCCAGACUCCUACGGGAGGCAGCGGUGGGGAAUAUUGCACAAUGAGCGCAAGCCUGAUGCAGCAACGCCGCGUGAGGGAUGACGGCCUUCGGGUUGUAAACCUCUUUUAGUAGGGAAGAAGCGAAAGUGACGGUACCUGCAGAAAAAGCACCGGCUAACUACGUGCCAGCCGCCGCCGUAA